Molecule: small RNA, 588 nt
Filed under: Pan troglodytes (chimpanzee)
Lineage: Eukaryota; Metazoa; Chordata; Mammalia; Primates; Hominidae
Description: processed transcript
Source: RNAcentral
AGGCCACGGACUUUCCACAGCGCGGGGGAACGGGAGGCUGCAGGAUGGUCAAGCUGACGGCGGAGCUGAUCGAGCAGGCGGCGCAGUACACCAACGCGGUGCGCGACCGGGAGCUGGACCUCCGGGGGUAUAAAAUUCCCGUCAUUGAAAAUCUAGGUGCUACGUUAGACCAGUUUGAUGCUAUUGAUUUUUCUGACAAUGAGAUCAGGAAACUGGAUGGUUUUCCUUUGUUGAGAAGACUGAAAACAUUGUUAGUGAACAACAACAGAAUAUGCCGUAUAGGUGAGGGACUUGAUCAGGCUCUGCCCUGUCUGACAGAACUCAUUCUCACCAAUAAUAGUCUCGUGGAACUGAUGGAGUGGCUGGAGUGCAGUGGCGAGAUCUCGGCUCACUGCAACCUCUGCCUCCUGGGUUCAAGUGAUUCUCCUGCUGCCUCAGCCUCCUGAGUAGCUGGGAUUACAGGGUGAUCUGGACCCUCUGGCAUCUCUUAAAUCGCUGACUUACCUAAGUAUCCUAAGAAAUCCGGUAACCAAUAAGAAGCAUUACAGAUUGUAUGUGAUUUAUAAAGUUCCGCAAGUCAGAGUACUG